GCCAGGCAUGGUGGCUCGUGCCUAUAAUCCCAGCACUUUGGGAGGCUGAGGUAGGAGGAUUGCUUGAGCCCAGGAAUUCAAGACUGCAGUGAGCCAUGGUCAUCCCACUUCACUCCAGCCUGGGCAACAGAGGGAGACCCUGUCUCUAAAGAAAAUAAAAAUAGGCGGCGGGGUGCCGUGGCUCACGCCUGUAGUCCCAGCACUUUGAGAGGCCAAGGUGGGUGGAUCACCUGAGGUCAGAAGUUUGAGACCAGCCUGGGCAACAUGGUGAAACCCCGUCUCU
This is an unclassified non-coding RNA of Gorilla gorilla gorilla (western lowland gorilla), 283 nucleotides long. It matches the Rfam family "Metazoan signal recognition particle RNA". From Rfam's summary of the family: The signal recognition particle (SRP) is a universally conserved ribonucleoprotein. It is involved in the co-translational targeting of proteins to membranes. The record is from Ensembl. Lineage: Eukaryota; Metazoa; Chordata; Mammalia; Primates; Hominidae.